CCUACGGGAGGCAGCAGUGAGGAAUAUUGGUCAAUGGACGAGAGUCUGAACCAGCCAAGUAGCGUGAAGGAUGACUGCCCUAUGGGUUGUAAACUUCUUUUGUCAAGGGACAAAAUCAGGCUCGAGAGCCUGACCGAGGGUACUUGAAGAAAAAGCAUCGGCUAACUCCGUGCCAGCAGCCGCGGUAAUACGGAGGAUGCGAGCGUUAUCCGGAUUUAUUGGGUUUAAAGGGUGCGUAGGCGGACUGUUAAGUCAGCGGUAAAAGCCCGGGGCUCAACCCCGGCGAGCCGUUGAAACUGGCUGUCUUGAGAUGUCGAGAGGUAUGCGGAAUGCGCAGUGUAGCGGUGAAAUGCUUAGAUAUGGCGCAGAACUCCGAUUGCGAAGGCAGCAUACCGGCGGCGAUCUGACGCUGAGGCACGAAAGCGUGGGUAUCGAACAGGAUUAGAUACCCCAGUAGUC
RNAcentral lists this ribosomal RNA (459 nucleotides) under uncultured bacterium. RNAcentral's name for it is "partial 16S ribosomal RNA". It matches the Rfam family "Bacterial small subunit ribosomal RNA", at positions 338 to 795 of the family's 1533-position model. The record is from RNAcentral.